Molecule: ribosomal RNA, 253 nt
Filed under: uncultured bacterium
Lineage: Bacteria
Description: partial 16S ribosomal RNA
Rfam family: Bacterial small subunit ribosomal RNA
Source: RNAcentral
UACGUAGGGUGCGAGCGUUGCCCGGAUUUAUUGGGCGUAAAGGGCGCGCAGGCGGCCACGCACGUCCGUUGUGAAAUCGCCCGGCUCAACUGGGCGGGGUCGGCGGAUACGGCGCGGCUGGAGCAAGCUAGGGGGCAAUGGAACUCCCGGUGUAGUGGUGGAAUGCGUAGAUAUCGGGAAGAACACCAGUGGCGAAGGCGGUUGCCUGGAGCUUUGCUGACGCUGAGGCGCGAAAGCGUGGGGAGCGAUCCGG